Long non-coding RNA from Bubalus bubalis (water buffalo), 299 nucleotides. RefSeq lists it as uncharacterized. NCBI's taxonomy places the organism in Eukaryota, Metazoa, Chordata, Mammalia, Artiodactyla, Bovidae. The transcript is spliced from 3 exons. The record is from RefSeq and is a predicted model, not a curated record.
CCAGAAGAGAAUUCAGGUAGAGAUCAAGCCAGAGAAGCAAAAACCACCUGAAAACUUACAGAUUUCAAGAAAGCAGGAAGAAAGAAGCCGGAGGCCAUACGAGAAAGAAGAGGAGAUAUUUUAUGGAGUAAGCUGUCCUGCAAUGUAGGGAGGCAGUGGACUCUCUGUGGAAAAGGAUCUUGGUUUCCUGUUCAUGAGUGGGGCUAAGAGAAGUCACUCUAGCCUUCAACUGCAUCUGGAGACCUGGGUUCUAUCCCUAGCCUGGGAAGAUCCCACAUGCUGCAGAGCAACCAAGCCUG